Molecule: ribosomal RNA, 261 nt
Filed under: uncultured archaeon
Lineage: Archaea
Description: partial 16S ribosomal RNA
Rfam family: Archaeal small subunit ribosomal RNA
Source: RNAcentral
CAGCCGUAAACUAUGCGCGUUAGGUGUAUCGGUGACCACGAGUUACCGAGGUGCCGAAGGGAAACCGUGAAACGUGCCGCCUGGGAAGUACGGUCGCAAGGCUGAAACUUAAAGGAAUUGGCAGGGGAGCACCACAACAGGUGGAGCCUGCGGUUUAAUUGGACUCAACGCCGGGAAGCUCACCGGAUAGGACAGCAGAAUGAUUGCCGGGCUGAAGACCCUGCAUGACUAGCUGAGAGGAGGUGCAUGGCGUCAGUGACU